Molecule: unclassified non-coding RNA, 600 nt
Filed under: Hevea brasiliensis (rubber tree)
Lineage: Eukaryota; Viridiplantae; Streptophyta; Magnoliopsida; Malpighiales; Euphorbiaceae
Source: RNAcentral
GGAAUAUCCUGCGUCUAGCAUUGUUAUGGGCAAGAAAAGGUGGCGUUUUCAAGAGACGUUUGAUGGUGGAACUACGUGUUCUACCUAAGUUUCUUAAAAGCCUCGGCCACAGUACUACAACUUCUCGCACCCAAAUCCAUUAUGGAGAACGCCAGCUUUCCUUUGACAAGACCACUAUUUUUCACGUCAAGAUGCACCGCCCGGCCUCCAUGCGAUUCAACAUUCCUUGCAUUACCCCGCAAGUCGACUUCGAUUAUGAUUUCGAUGAAGAUCAAGAAGGAGGGUAUGAGUAUGACUAUGAAGGGAGGAAGAGUUUCUUGAAAGGUGGAGAGGAGGAGGAAUACGAAGAGGAAAGCAUUCCCGAGGAGGAGAAAGAGAUUGAUUUGAGAGCUGAGGAGUUCAUAGCUAAGUUCUAUGAGCAAAUGAAGCUUCAAAGACAAAUCUCUUAUCUUCAGUACAGUUAGAUGCUAAAUAGUUUAUCAUUUCAUGCGUCCUGAGAAUUUUUGCAGAUUCUUGAUCAUUUCAUUUCUAUGUAAAAAGAUGAGGCAUUUGCGGCAAUUUGUAAGUACCGGAAGGCUUCCGUUGAGUUUAAUAAAAUUU